This 374-nucleotide ribosomal RNA is filed under the name uncultured organism. RNAcentral describes it as "partial 16S ribosomal RNA". It matches the Rfam family "Bacterial small subunit ribosomal RNA", at positions 527 to 896 of the family's 1533-position model. The record is from RNAcentral.
GUAGGUGGCAAGCGUUGUCCGGAAUUAUUGGGGCGUAAAGCGCGCGCAGGCGGUUCUUUAAGUCUGAUGUGAAAGCCCACGGGCUCAACCGUGGAGGGUCAUUGGAAACUGGAGAACUUGAGUACAGAAGAGGAAAGCGGAAUUCCACGUGCAGCGGUGAAAUGCGUAGAGAUGUGGAGGAACACCAGUGGCGAAGGCGGCUUUCCGGUCUGUAACUGACGCUGAGGCGCGAAAGCGUGGGGAGCAAACAGGAUUAGAUACCCUGGUAGUCCACGCCGUAAACGAUGAGUGCUAAGUGUUAGGGGGUUUCCGCCCCUUAGUGCUGCAGCUAACGCAUUAAGCACUCCGCCUGGGGAGUACGGCCGCAAAGGCUG